Molecule: non-coding RNA, 7669 nt
Organism: Cherax quadricarinatus
Lineage: Eukaryota; Metazoa; Arthropoda; Malacostraca; Decapoda; Parastacidae
Source: RefSeq, a predicted model, not a curated record
GUGGCCCGGUGGCCUGGUGGCUAAAGCUCCCGCUUCACACACGGAGGGCCCGGGUUCGAUUCCCGGCGGGUGGAAACAUUUCGACACGUUUCCUUACACCUGUUGUCCUGUUCACCUAGCAGCAAAUAGGUACCUGGGUGUUAGUCGACUGGUGUGGGUCGCAUCCUGGGGGACAAGAUUAAGGACCCCAAUGGAAAUAAGUUAGACAGUCCUCGAUGACGCACUGACUUUCUUGGGUUAUCCUGGGUGGCUAACCCUCCGGGGUUAAAAAUCCGAACGAAAUUUUAUCUUAUCUUAUCUUAAGGUUAGCACGACAUAUAUCGCGAUCCAGAGGGAAAAUACCUGCAGCAUUCUGGGCAUGCAGCUGACUGCCAGGGAGUUGGAUGAAGUAUCUGAGAUGUAGACUCUGACAUGUCAUAGCACAAGCAAACAUACAUCUGGCAGUACUCUCAGAGCACAAACCAACAUGUAGCUGUACACUCGGAACCACCUAAGAGUAGUGAAGGGGCCAAGUGCGAGAUGACCGAGGGUGAGACUGGUGCCACUAAUGCACAGACAUCGAAGAACUUUCCUACAAUCGACACCAAUGAAGGGAGGACAUCUAGAAACCCAAAUAAGACUUGAAGAGCAACAGAUUAUCUAUCAAUGAAGACCAAUCUACAUUGCCAACUAUAUCAUAAAUGCUGGGUCACAACUGCAAAGAAAUUAUCCCAAUUAAAAUUGCCCAGUAGAAGAGGUGGUUCAAGUAAGGAAUAAACCUGGGUCCACAAUUUGUUCAAUGAUAAGGGGGAAGAAAGAGGUAAGAAACAGAUUACAUACCAUUUAUUAAUUUGGGAUGGAUUAUAAUGUAGUACAGUAUUUGGCAUUACUGGAGCAAGAAAUGUACAGUCAUUAUAAAAAGACAUUAGGAUAAGGGCAUAUAGUAAUGGUAGAAUUACCAACAAAAUAGGUAAAUGGAUACACAUGCAACUAAUGUGACUUUUUAUUGUGGCAACAUUUUGCUCUUCAGGAGCUUUGUCAAGCAACAGCUUGACAAACUUCCUGGAGAGUGAAACAAAGAUUUAUAGAGCAUAAGAAACAUAGCCAGAGACAGGAAGAACAACAGAGUUAUGUAGUCUAAGUUAUCAUAGACAAAUGCAGAGAAAAAAGCUGAAAUCAACAUUUAAAACGGUUCCCCAAUUUCUAGAUACUGUAUGAAGUCUGUGGGUUUAGCACUCCACCUCAUGAAUGUGAUAAAAAGCCCCAAUUUUCAAGUACGGAUUCACUGUUUUUUCCACUGCUUUACUAAUGUAUAAGGAUUUAGCACUUUUAUGUGAAUACUGUAUAAUAAUAAUAAUAUUUUAAGGUAAAAUAAAAGGAAAAUGAAGACUGGAAUAAAGGAUGGCAAUAAACAUAGGGGAUCUGUAAUGUCUGGAUUCAGCAGCAAAGAUAGUUACAGGGGACAAUUGUAUGAAGCUGAAAAUUUGGAAAACUGUGAUGAAUCAAUGGAGGAAAGUGGGUCAGAAACAGAUACUGCAGAGAUAUCUUGAUCUCGUGCAACACUCGUCAGUGUUUCGCUGCUGAGCAGUAUAACACAGAGCUGAUGAUGACAGCAGCAAGUACCCUAGGGAAUAUCGAUGUCUGAGAGAUUACAUUUGGUUUAUAAAGAAGAUCUACAAAGGAAGGAAGGGGUGGAGGCAUGUAAAUAAACAACUAAAUUACCAAUCUUCUCAGUAUCUGUGAUGGAGAAAGUACCGUUCCAGGAAAGGGGUUGGGUAAAUUGAUAGUGGCAGUAGCUGAAAUGGAAGAAAUGUGCUGAGGAAGGAUGGAUGAUUCAGGAAAAUACUAGGUGGAAGGGCAGAAUGAACAAAUAGGAAGCCUUCAGUGAAAUAUAAACCUAUGAAAUUUGUUUCUGGGCAGAUAUACUUUGCCAGAUGUCCAAUACAUCAGCAGUUUUGAUACUUCUAAACCAGUUAGACUGCUGUAUUAGUUUACUUAUGGCAUGUUCAAAAGACUACCAGAGGGAACUCAGAGAAGUUGAUAAUAAAUUUUGUGGUGUUCAGAAAGCACCACCUACCAUGCAUGGAAUGAACAAAUAACUUUACUAGAAUAACUGGCAACUGAGUUGAACAUGUCGUUAAACCAUACUAGGAAGAGUUGUUAAAUACAGCCUACAGUGUAGAUUGCACAUCAUUGCACAUCAGUGUAGUGUGUACAUCAUUCAGGGAAGUGGUCUGCAUGUGGACAAUGUGAACCCCUUCAUAGAAUAAAUGGAAUACAAGUAUGUCUGGGCCAACCAAGGUCAUUAGCACAUGGAAAAAUUGUAGUUAUCUAAUAGCACUCAGCAGAACUUUGUAUGCAUUUUUGCUGUAGACAAAUAGACUAAUGUUAGCAAGGACCAGAAAGACUGCUGUAGUGUUUAAUGAAGUCUGCUCCAUCAUAAAUGGUUAAAUCUUUCGUCUGGCCCUUAUUCUUAAACCUGGUCAGCAUGAGCAGACCUAACUGGGCUAUAAUAUAUCUCUCAGAUUGCAUAAUAACCACCUUUAUUUCUACAAAUACAUGAUAAAACUUAUAGAGCAUAAGGAUGUUCAAACAUCACAUAAAUAGUUUUCCGAAGGGUCCAUUAAACCAGGAUGUUGUUAAAAAACAACACUUACACACCCUAAACCUAAUCUAGUACUGUGCACACACUUUACAGUUUUAUUGCAAUGGAUACUGAAAAUAAAGAAGUUAAAAGUAUAAUUUACCAGUGGAUUUUGUCCAUUAUUAUCAGUCCCUUAUAUUGUGGUCAGUUUUAUUGAGGAAUUGCAGCGAUUUAUUAUUAAAGGAUGCAUGUAGCGCUGUUGUUCACUUGCACCAACAGCCUGGUUGAACAAGCAGUCAACAAUGCAGUCUUGUCUCAGGUUGAGCUUGGAGAGUGGAGGACUCUUGAAACUGUUCACAGGUAUUUACAUGUUAACGAAAUUUUAACCUUAACUAAAUUUAUUUUUUGUUUAUAUUUAUUCUGUAUAUUUAACAGAUGUUUAUAUUUCCUUUGAUAUAUACAUUACUGCAAGAUGCUAUUAUACAAGUUCAAUUAAACAUUUACCUAAAAUAAAUGAAGUAGUCAUUAUAAAUGAAAUAUAUGUGCAGGUAUUGUAAGGUAUAUAAGAAUUAGGCAGAUGUUUGUAUAAAUUAGGUGUCAAAGUCAACAUAUAAUAUACUAUUCAUAUUUCUAGAUUUAUAAAGAAUUUUUUUUUUUUUCUUUUUAGGUCACCCUGCCUCAGUGGGAUAAGGCCGGUUCAUUAGAAAAAAAAAUCUAGAUUAAUCUGACCAAUAUACACAAUGUAUAGUCAUUAAUCAACCUGAUUACUGUCAAAUGUAUAUUUAAAAUUUGGCAUAAGCUAGAAGACUACAUUUACCAGUUUCUCUAGUUGUAAUUCUCACACUUGAAUACAUAUAUACAUCACACACUUCAAUAAUAGAAGUACAGACCCUCAAAUGUGGUUCCCUUAUAUCAAGACUCAUCUAUUAUAUAUGCUCAUUACCUUGUCAUCUCUGUAUUAGGACUGCAGAAGCCACAUGUGGUGAAAUGCUUCCUUACUAAAUGUCUUGAUCAAUGCAUAAAUAACCCACACAUAGGAGAGAGGAGCUUAGGACGAUGUUUAGGUCUGACUUGAACCAUUUACAAAGUCACAAUGUGACUUUGUAAAUGAUCCAAGUCGGACUGAAACAUCAUCCUAAGCUCCUCUCUCUUAUGUGCGGGUUAUUUUUGUAUUGUUCUAGUCACAGUAUUGUGCCUUUUUGUUAUUUACUGAUCAAUGCAUAUACGUCUUUUGCCUAUAAGUCACGAUUUUGAUUGUGAAUUUCACUCUAUUCAAUUUCAAAUUAAAUAAUUAUUGCCAUUAUAUUCCCAAAAGCAGUAUAUUCAUACAAGUCAUUCACUUCUGUAGUCCCAAUAAAUAUGUUUAAAUGUCUGUUAUCGAGAGACUUCACUUCAAGGGUCCUGGAUUAGAAAAUUUGUACCUCUAUAUUAAAAACAACCACAAAAAUGAUUCCAUAUUAUUCCUACUUACAUCUUGGAUAACAGUAAGAUUUGCAGAUAUAUAAAAUUGUGUUUCUUCAUAUUGCUAUUCUAUAUAUGACAGUGUCGAGUUUUACAGUAAUUCGUUAUUUACCUAUAUAUAUAAAUAUUAUAAAAGUUAUACAAAAAUAUUUCUUCAGCACUGAUAUAAAAGUUAUUCACUUAGUCUCACAAAAUAACAAGCAAGCUGAACAUCAGCCAAGAAAUUUCCUAAAAUAUGGCACAUUAUACUAUACACCUGGGCUGGUCAUGGACAGAGCUGCAGGGGCAUUGACCCCUGAAACCCCCCUCCAGGUAUACUCCAGGUAUACACAGAAAUUAAAUGUGCAACUAGAAGACAAUACUCUUUCUUCCCUACACUAAAUAAGUACUCAUACUAUCUCUGAUGAAUAGUUUUGUCAUGAUAGAAUUACCUGUGCAAUCAAUCUAAGACAUACAAUAGAGUAAAUAAACACAAACACUAAGAAUAUAUAGUCAGUACCGUGGCUGGAACAGUUCACAUAUAACUCGUGAUCAGGAGAGGAAUCUCAUGUUUUGAUCGAUUCUGCCUUUUCUUUGCCUUUCCUGUCUUUUGACAUUCCUCUUUCUUACUUUUUUUCUCUUUUCCUAGCUUGGGCUAUUUGGCCUGCUGCAGUUGUUCUCCUUUGAGAGGCAGAGUGUAGUUUACUCUUGUUACUUUAUCACUAGUCCUGCCCAGGGUGCAUCUCAUCCCCUGUAGUGCUCCUCUUGUUCUUUUGUUCAACUAAUCCUUUUACUACUACUACUACUACCAUUACUUCUGUAUGACCCUAGUGGGUUUAGCGCUUAGUUAUGAUUGUAAUAAGAAUAACUGUAAUACUACCAUUACUAUUACGACUACCAGCAGUACUACUUCCCUACUACUACCACCUCCCCACAUAGUUGUCUGGCCUCUACUUUUUUGCCAGCAGUUGUAACUUUAAAAUGGUCCAGGAUCACCAAAACAUCACCAAGUUCCUCUUCUAAGUAUGACUUAUUUGUGAAUAAACAUGCAUUUAGCUUUUCAGUAACUUACAGGCUAUACUGUAUACACUAACCUCAAGAGAGAAGGGGGUUAAAGUUAGUGAAGGGUUCUUGAGCCAAUCGUCUCCCAUUCCUCUGGCAUUGUAUUACCCCUAUGGGUUGAACACUUCCCAGUGAAUAUAACAUUUAUGCUUACCAUCUCACAGUUUACAAAUAUUUUACCAAAUUGAAAUAAAACAGUUAUUAAAAUUAAAAAGCUAAAGCAAGAGGGUUUAUGUUAUAAAAUAUAAUGCAAGGCAUUUUAAAUAAGAGUAAAUAAUCACAACAAUUUUUCUCAUGUCGGUAAUAUGUAUGAAUGACCCAUGCAUAUGACUAUCCCCUGGGAUUACUGAAUAGAUGGCAUGAUUGUAGAUUCAGUUCCAGACCAACUGAGAUUAUUUAAACAAAUGAUUAAAUAGAACGAAGAUUUACAAAUUUUAAUUGUUUUAGAAUAUUUUUUUUUUUACACACAGUUGUAGCCCGGUACUAUAAUUAAACAAAUCUGUAAAAUAGGUCUGCCAGAGACCGUAUUAUUUUUGUUUUCGCAACUUAUUAACUAAGUUAUAUUUACGUAUACAGUAAUUAAUAUGAAACGACACAUCACAAGUACAAUCGGUAAUCUCUGAGAAAGGUAAACCCCUGUGGUUAGACUCUUGUUUGUAGACAGGGUGGUCCAAGAAGUGCAUACUAUAAAAUACCAACAAUACAGGACACCAGCCUGUUACAUUCAAGCAGCUUUUUCAUGCACCACCCUGUACACUGAAGGAGAUCAAGGGGAGAAAAUAUGCUUCACAGGAGGAUAUUCAAGUGAUGUGAACACUGGUUAAUGUUAGCACUAUCUGCAAAUGAAACACACCCUUAAUGUAGAUUAACCAUCUUCUAUUUGGUCUGAAUAGCCAGGCACAGUGUGAUUGUCAAAAUUACCAAUAAUAAAAGCCUCGGAGGGAAAUGCAAAAAAAUUGUCUAUUAAUAUACAUCUCAAAAACAUCUUUACAUCUAAAAUGCACAUUAAAUAUAUAUCAACAAAGUAGCUAUAUACAAGAGAGUGCUCUAAAAGCUAUGUACUAUCUAUCUAUUACACAUCACAAGGCAGGAGUCACAACUAUGGCACACUCUAGUCUGCCUUUGAUCAAUUUCUGCACACAUCAGUUAUCUGUGCAUGAAUAUUUCACUGACUGUAUUGGCAGAUUUUUAAAUGUAUUUCUUUAAUGAACAUUUUUUGUAUGGCAGUAUUUACUGAAAAUUUGCAUUCAUAAAAAUACGCUAUCUUUUUCCCAAUAAAUUGUCUCGCAUGUAUUAACAAACUUGACUAAGUGAUAAAUGCAACAAACAGUGUACUGAUAAAUCCUAUAAACUUUUAAUCUGCAGAUCAUGUUACUUACACAAUAAUUUAUAAUUAUUAUAUGUAUAUAUCUUCAACAACGUAGUGAGAUUUAAAUAUGUACGUACCAGCAUAUGAAAUGCAUAAUAAAAGAAACGAAAAUUAUCACUUCAAAGUGAGAUGAUCACUAACAACUUGCUAGUCAAGAAAAAUAAUCGCUGUGACAACCAAAGCUGAAGCACCUCAGUGAACACUGCACAGGUGAUGAGUCAUAGUUAAGGUUUAAUCCGACGUCGAGUUAACACCUUCGUAAUCUGAUGUUAAGUUAACAUCUUCAUAAUCUGAUGUUGAGUUAACAUCUUUGUAUUCUGAUGUUAACUUAACAUGUUCAUAAUGUGAUGUUAAGUUAACAUCUUCAUAAAAUUUAAAGGUUUGGUGGGACUCUUGAGUAUCUGAAGUGCAGGAAAUUAUAUAUAAAAGUGAUAUGAGUAAAUUAUUACAUGGUGAAUAGAAUUCUAUUAUAAAGGUAUCACACAAAUUAUAAAAAAUUAUGUUAAGGCCACACACACACAUUUAUGGGCUAUGCAUUUUUAUACACUAUAGACAUCCCUUAAUAUUCACUGGAGAGGCAUUCCUAGGUGUUAGUGUGGCUUCCCAGGAGAGCAGGUUGGAAGGAUGGGUGGCAGACAGGCAGGGCAGGUAAGCAAGAAAUAGUUCUUUCUAACUCGUCUCUGUACUGCAUCGUGUGACGGAGAGAAGGAAGGAAGGAAAUGAGAAGGUAGAGGUAGGGCGAGUGAAACCAGGAAGGUGGGAGGGCAGUGGAAGGCAAGCAGUGGUAUCCAAUACAAGCGACAGGAAAGAUCUCGUUCCCCUCUCUAAUGAUCAUGGUAAUCAUACGAACAGGUAGUUGAGCAGGUGAGUUAGUGGCACAAAGUUUUCUGUGGACUCCACAGCUGUCACAUUAAUUAUGAGAGUGCAGGGACAGGAGGGUGGAUGUGAGGCAAAUUCUCACUACCCUCCCUAAGUGUCAUGUUACUUACAAGAGAAAAAGAUCAGGUAGUUGAGCAAAUCUAUCUAUCUAUCUCUAUCUCUAUCUCCUCCUCAGCUGUCAUAUUAUUCACUAUAAACAGAAAAGGAAGCAAGAGAAAGUAAUUCUUUAAUAAAACUUAUAAUCACUUACUCCUUAACCUGACAAGACUUCACUCAAAUUAAUACACCCUCUUUCCAUAAGGCUUGUCCUUAAGUAGUGCUAUUAAAAAAAAAAAAAAAAAAAAAAAGCCUAUUUA